GGGUGGAUUGCGGGAGGACUGCGUCUUUCUCAGCGCCGCCUCUCCACAUAUACCCUCCACCUGCCGCCACACCCAGCGGCGGCGAGGAACCACUUGGUAUGCACUCGGGCACCCGCAGGAAAGAGAAUAGGGAGAGACAUAAGCUGAUGAAGUGAAGCCAAGCAGACUGACAGGAACAGAAAAUUAGUACUCCUCCCCUCCUCUGUUCCCCUACAGAAAGAGCUCAGACCUCAUAGUGACUGAUCUUUGGGUAGGACUGAGACCACUCACACACCACACACCAGGACAGCGAGGCCACAGCUCCUUGGCUUACAUCCCAUACCUAUUUGCUGCUGGGGAAACAGGGGCUACACAUUAAGUGGCUCACCCAUUUGCCUCACCAUCCCUGAGACUUGAAUCUGAGCCCUCUCAGUUGAGCCAAGUGUGCUGACCACCAUACUGCAUGUGAAUAAAACUCAGCAACUCAGGGAAAGCUUUACCUGCUGCCUGGGCUUUUUGGAGGUAAAACCCCUGCCUCCUCAUGACUCGAGAUAGCCGAGCCGCUGCGAGAGGCACGAGAGGAGGAUCUGAGGGGAUCCAGGAACACAUGCUCAAGUUUUAGAAAUGAGUGGAGGAGCUGGGCCUUUGCUGGCCUGGUUGAGAGGAUCAAAGGCACUUCCUUGGGAGGUGUAGCCAGUGCCUCGCAUGCUAGUCAUGGGUCUUCGUAACCCAUCACUGGAACCACCCGUCUGCCCCACAAAUUAUAAAUAAGAUCAGAUGAGUGGAUCUACAAAUGAACACCAGCAGACGAAAUUACAGUUCCACACAGAAAGUCAUUAAGACAAAAAGAUGAACAUGGGGAAAAUAAAUCUGAUGUUUGAGACCUGCUUAUAAGGUAGGCCUAUUCAUAGAGAGAGAGGGAAGUACAGGGAGAGGGGAGAGCUCCAACAACUCUACCAUAUUCCUUUUCCAUUGAGAUCGGGGCUGUCCCAGCAAUGCAAAAUGCAGGUCACUAAAGACUCUGGAGAUUUUGUGUAUUGCUGCAAUGUAGGUUGGGAGGGGGCUCGUGGUGACAGUCAUAUUACUGUAGGUUUGUGAGGAUGCCAUAAGGCUGAUGAAUGGUGAAUGGUUUUUGUUGCCGUUUCCAGUGUAGAGCACAGAGAUUGAGGUAGUGAACUUGUGAGGAUGAGAAGUGAGUCGUGAGGGUGGAGAUGAUAAUGUUUACACUAAAAGAUGCUGACCUAUAGGAUAAGGCCAUAAUGAAAACCUUAUGGUGGUUGGGCACUGAGGGGGCUCACAACACUCCCAACAGUAAAGUCUACGUUUUAUAGGGAGAUCGUCGCCACCACACACAGACCUGCGUUCUGCACUUCCGUUACCCACGCUCAUUCAAAGAUCCCAAUAAGUAAGUGUGCAGUAGAUACAGCGUAAUAGCACAUACAAUAAGUAAUACUAGGAAGCUGGAAACUAGUAAUAAAAAUGUGACAGGAAGACAAAUCAAUAUGCUUAUAGAGUUAAGUGUUCAAUUUGUAUGAUUGCAGGCUUGACCAGACUCAGAAUAAACUCUACUGUGUGCAGUGUUGGGGCUUAUUACACCUGUUACACCGAGCAGUGCCAUCAGGCUGCAACAGUUUUCAAUCACAUUAUUUUUUAUUUCUUCAUUGAAGGCAGGGCAGCUGAGAGAAUUGAAAUGUGCUGGUGCAGGAAUAGUUUAGGGCCCCCACCCCUGCAGCCAGUAGGUAAAGAGAUGCAACCCCUCCCAAGAUCUAAUGGGUCCUCCAUAGACCCCAUGGGCCCCGGGGCAAUGCACUGGCUGACACCCCCCACCCUCACCCCGUGUGCCUGAUUGAAAGCAUCACAAAGCUGAUCACAAGAUGGGAAGAAAGGAUGUCACUGAAUGAGGAACCCUGCUCAUAUUCUGAUUGCCAUAAAAUAAAUACUAAAUAAAUAAAUGAAUAAAUAAAUAAAGAGAUCAAUUAGUCAGACAACAACAACAACAACAACAACAACAACAACAAUAGUAAUAAUAAUAAUAAUAAUAAUAAUAAUA
Scylla paramamosain (green mud crab) is the source of this 2029-nucleotide long non-coding RNA. RefSeq lists it as uncharacterized. The transcript is spliced from 6 exons. Lineage: Eukaryota; Metazoa; Arthropoda; Malacostraca; Decapoda; Portunidae. The record is from RefSeq and is a predicted model, not a curated record.